Molecule: long non-coding RNA, 2778 nt
Filed under: Helianthus annuus (common sunflower)
Lineage: Eukaryota; Viridiplantae; Streptophyta; Magnoliopsida; Asterales; Asteraceae
Description: hypothetical non coding rna
Source: RNAcentral
CCAUUCUUAUUUUCCCAAAACUUACAAGGUAUAUCAAUAAAUCAAUCGAAUAGAAUGGUGAUCGAUCUUGAAGAGAAACCCUGUAUGCUCCUCUCUCUCUCUCUCUCUCUCUCUCUCUCUCUCUCUCUUUCUCUCUCUCUCUCUCUGGUUCCCUUAAAAAGAAUUGAUUUCACACAAAGAAGCAGACAAAGACACGUAGCACCCAGGGACACAUGGGUAGCAUAAGUUUUUGGUCCAAUGAUGUAGUGGCGGAUGGAAAUCGGACCAAUAAGAGGAACUCAUAAUCGGGAACAUACCCAACGAUCCUACUUGGGAAAGCAGCAGCGGGAAGCGCAUCAAGCUGUAGUUGAUACUUGACAAACCAGCCAGAAUGAUCGCUCAACAUCUCAUACACAUUCAGGCUUAACAUACCUCCUUGGAAAUUCUUGUAUGCAAUUAAAUGUAGAUGACCUCUGGAUUCUCCCAUGUACUUUCUCAUCACUUCAGAAUCAGAAGGGAUCAAGCCAAGAGGCAAGGGUAACGUGUGCAGCUGUUGAUCAUCUAUUUUGAAGUGCCAGUAAUUUCUAUUGUCAAAUAAAGAAGCCCAAUAAACAGCUCCAUUCCAGUAAACCCCGUCGCGGUUGAUGGGUACAGAGGCAGGGAAAGAUUCGAUAGAUAUCUUCCAUUCGUUUGUGUCAGACGAGUAGACUUGAAUCUGAUACGAAUCGACCUCAGGCCCAACAGAAAGAACACAGAUAACUUUGUAGCGAACACAAUCUGUUUGAUGAAAUGCCAGACCCAUAAACCAUAUAGUGCUACGAUCUCUGGGAACGGGUGGGAUGAGUGCCAACUGCUUGGUGGUGGGAUUAAAUACACAAUAUUUACUAGCACCAUUGCGGUCUUUGGGCCGGGUAACGCAAAGUAGUAACCCAUUACAAGAUUGCACGAUUUCAACACCCGGGUGAUCAAAGUAGGAAUCAAGACAGCGAAAAGGUGGAGUGCUUGGGUUUUCAACAUCAAAGGGAACAUAUAUAUCGGUAGCAAUAAGACCUGUAGGAGAUUUUGAAAUCUUAUCAUACCUUUGGGUGAAAUGUUUCUGACUCAAAAGCAAACGCCAGUGUUUGGAUACGGAUUUGAAACGAAGGAUAGAGGCAGCAGGGAGGCGGAGAAGAAUCUCGGUUAAAAGCUCAUCGUUGAAACGAGAGAUAGAGGCAUGAAGCAUCUUCUUGGUUUGGGCUCUGGAAUGUAUCUUCUUCUUCUUCGCCUCUAACCACAUCGAUGACUUGGAACUCGUAACCGGGACCGUACCUAAUGAUCCUAUUUGGGAAAGCAGCAGCGGGAAUCACAUCAAGCUGUAGUUGAUACUUGACAAACCAGCCAGAAUGAUCGCUCAAAAUCUCAUACACAUUCAGGUGUAACAUAUCUCCUUGGAAUUUCUUGGAUGCAAUUAAAUGUAGAUGACCUCUGGAUUCUCCCAAGUAAUUUGUCAUCACUUCAGAAGGGAUCAAGCCAAGAGGCAAGGGUAACUUGUGCAGCUGUUGAUCAUCUAUUUUGAAGUACCAGUAAUUUAUUUCUUCAAAAAAAGAAGCCCAAUAAAUAGCUCCAUUCAAGUAAACCCCGCGGCGGAUGAAGUAUAUAGACGCAGAGAAAGAUUCGAUAGAUAUCUUCCAUUCGUUUGUGUCAGACGAGUAGACUUGAAUCUGAUAUGAACCCACAUCAGGCCCAACAGAAAGAACACAGAUAACUUUGUAGCGAACACAAUCUGUUUGAUGAAAUGCCAGACUCAUAAGCCAUAUAGCGCUACGAUCUCUGGGAACGGGUGGGAUGAGUGCCAACUGCUUGGUGGUGGGAUUAAAUACAUAAUAUUUACUAGCACCAUUGCGGUCUUUGGGCCGGGUAACGCAAAGUAGUAACCCAUUACAAGAUUGCACGAUUUCAACACCCGGGUGAUCAAAGUAGGAAUCAAGACAGCGAAAAGGUGGAGUGCUUGGGUUUUCAACAUCAAAGGGAACAUAUUUAUCGAUAGCAAUAAGACCUGUAGGAGGUUUUGAAAUGUGAUCAUACCUUCGGGUGAAAUGUUUCUGACUCAAAAGCAAACGCCAGUGUUUGGACACGGAUUUGAAACGAAAGAUAGAGACAGCAGGGAGGCGUAGAAGAAUCUCGGUUAAAAGGUCAUCGUUGAAACGAGAGAUAGAGGCAUGAAGCAUCUUCUUGGUUUGGGCUCUGGUUUGUGUCGUCACUAGAUCCAUCUGCUUUUCUGGCUGCCAUACAAGCCGGAGAUCUAAUGGUGUCUCCUCAACUUUCACUUAACUCUUUGACAUCUCCACGCCGUGCACACCGGCCCGCCAACGGCCUGGAGUUGGAGGCGAUGAGUUUUCCACUGGCAUGGAGGCAUUUUGAACGUUGACGUGACGUGUUUUGAAAGUUGAUGUUGACACACAACAGGAUGGAAAGGUAAAGUGCGGGUGUCUGAGUGAAAUGAUAUGAAGAUAAGGGAGGUGACCAAGUGUCUUUAAAAGAUUGAGAUGUGAAAAGACCAUCCUAGCCCUCACACCAACGGUCAAGUAACGUUUGACGAACGGAUUGGUAUCAAACUGCAAUGAAAUGCAGGCACGGGAAGCCAUAGUGCAAAAGGUGGAAGAUAGGGUGUCAGAGUGUAAGCCACGUGUAAGCCACAUGAUGGCAAAUUACAAUUUACUCUUCAGUUAUUGCUUUCGGUUUACUUAUUUUAUGUUCUUAGUUUUAUAUUUUGAAGUCUCAUGCUUUUCUUUGAACUAGUCAUUGACAAAGACUUACUUG